Non-coding RNA from Echinops telfairi (small Madagascar hedgehog), 267 nucleotides. The record is from Rfam. Lineage: Eukaryota; Metazoa; Chordata; Mammalia; Afrosoricida; Tenrecidae.
UGUGUAGAAAUGAACUCUCGUCCGACUCUCAAAGGAAUUAUAUUUUGGGCAAAAUGUGCCAAUGUAAAGAGUUAGAAGAUUAGCGUUUCAUAAUGAAAGCAAUGUAUUCUUUGACAUGGAAAUAGAAAUAUAAUAAAUGUCCUGCAGGUGAGAGGGGCUGUACCAAUUUUAUUGAAGAUUAAAGUUUGAUUGACCUUUGUGAGGGUGAUUAACCCCUGUGAAAUUAAAAAGCCAGAGCUGAAUGAUUCUGUCCAAUUAAAAUGCAAA